GGAUGAUGAUUAAUGGUUCGAGUUAUGAAAACAUAUAACAAGCUAGUUUGAGGAUAUUUUUAUUCUACCUAGGAUUGCAGAUGGCCAAGAACAGAUAACAAGGAAUAUGAAGUUAAUUUCUCAGUCCUUUUAGACGGAAACUCCAAAGUUGUACGAUUUUGAUGAAGUUUUCCAAGGCAGACGAAUAUUUAUUGCGUAUGUCAUGAAGAAUUAUAUUUUUGUAUCAAAUAACAAUUUCGUCCAUCAUAAAAACCAUUGCACCAAACAAAAUAAAAAUUAAGAAAAAAUCAUAGAAACAUGUUUGGGAAAAUUGAGAGAGAAACCGAGACAAGAACAAACAGAAAAAUAAGCAAAUAUAAUCAGCAUCAUCUUCUUCUUUCAUAAAUGGUCUCGAUCAAACACCAUACCUAAAACAAGCAUCCAUAUGCCAAAAAGCAAAGCUAGCUAUAGCUAGACCGUUUACCAAAUGAUGGAUCAAAGUGACGAAAAAGGAAGAAACGCCAUGUAGACAAAAAAACUAGUAUGAUUUGCUUUGAUCUAGCAAAAUAGUCGGACCGAGAAGCUUGAUUCCCCGAAGAGUUGUUGGAUCAUUGAACAAAAGACCCUCUACUCAUAACAUAUAGUAGCAAAAGACUUGGUUCAAGUGAAUAGUAGGGUUUUCAUGAUCAUCCUGUUAGCAAACUCUUUCUUCUUCUUCUUCUUCUUCUUCUUCUUCUUCUUGGGUUUCUUGUUGUUGUGGUUUUGCUUUUGGCCUUGGGAGAUAUUGAAAAGAGAGAGGGGAUGAUCAUGAUCAUGAGCGAUGGUGGUGGUGUGAGGGUAAUGAUGAUAGUAUUGAAGAGUCAGAGGUGGGAAGGAGAAGGAGGAGGAGGUCAUGAUGAUUGCUCUGUUAAAUUUGGAUGAAAAAAAUUUCAAUGCAUCGCGCGUGCCCUAUCUCCUCACUCUGAUACCCAGAGAAAGAGACUUUGAUGCUUUCUUUCUCUUUCUCUCUCUCUCUCUAUGAGGAGAGAAUUAUAACGAAACACAUGGUGCUAGCCUGUUCUUGUCUCCAGCUCUCGCUCUCAAAGAAAAAGGAAAGCCCCCCCACUCUUUUUCUUAAUUAAUUUGAUUCUUC
This 1111-nucleotide long non-coding RNA is filed under the name Durio zibethinus. RNAcentral's name for it is "long non-coding RNA (DZIB_LNC000105)". The record is from RNAcentral. Lineage: Eukaryota; Viridiplantae; Streptophyta; Magnoliopsida; Malvales; Malvaceae.